RNAcentral lists this ribosomal RNA (481 nucleotides) under uncultured bacterium. RNAcentral's name for it is "partial 16S ribosomal RNA". It matches the Rfam family "Bacterial small subunit ribosomal RNA", at positions 28 to 507 of the family's 1533-position model. The record is from RNAcentral.
GAUGAACGCUGGCGGCGUGCUUAACACAUGCAAGUCGAACGAAGCACUUUAUUUGAUUUCCUUCGGGACUGAUUAUUUUGUGACUGAGUGGCGGACGGGUGAGUAACGCGUGGGUAACCUGCCUUGUACAGGGGGAUAACAGUUGGAAACGGCUGCUAAUACCGCAUAAGCGCACGGCAUCGCAUGAUGCAGUGUGAAAAACUCCGGUGGUAUAAGAUGGACCCGCGUUGGAUUAGCUAGUUGGUGAGGUAACGGCCCACCAAGGCGACGAUCCAUAGCCGACCUGAGAGGGUGACCGGCCACAUUGGGACUGAGACACGGCCCAAACUCCUACGGGAGGCAGCAGUGGGGAAUAUUGCACAAUGGGCGAAAGCCUGAUGCAGCGACGCCGCGUGAGCGAAGAAGUAUUUCGGUAUGUAAAGCUCUAUCAGCAGGGAAGAUAAUGACAGUACCUGACUAAGAAGCACCGGCUAAAUACGUG